CAGUCGCCACGGGAAUACGAAGGGGGCUAGCGUUGCUCGGAAUCACUGGGCGUAAAGGGUGCGUAGGCGGGUCUUUAAGUCAGGGGUGAAAUCCUGGAGCUCAACUCCAGAACUGCCUUUGAUACUGAAGAUCUUGAGUUCGGGAGAGGUGAGUGGAACUGCGAGUGUAGAGGUGAAAUUCGUAGAUAUUCGGAAGAACACCAGUGGCGAAGGCGGCCCGCUGGACAUGUAUUGACGCUGAGGUGCGAAAGCGUGGGGAGCAAACAGGAUUAGAUACCCGCGUAGUCCCUGUCUCUUAUAC
This 301-nucleotide ribosomal RNA is filed under the name uncultured bacterium. Its description in RNAcentral is "partial 16S ribosomal RNA". It matches the Rfam family "Bacterial small subunit ribosomal RNA", at positions 509 to 807 of the family's 1533-position model. The record is from RNAcentral.